AGUGAACGCUGGCGGUAGGCCUAACACAUGCAAGUCGAACGGCAGCACAGUAAGAGCUUGCUCUUACGGGUGGCGAGUGGCGGACGGGUGAGGAAUACAUCGGAAUCUACUUUUUCGUGGGGGAUAACGUAGGGAAACUUACGCUAAUACCUCAUACGACUUACGGGUGAAAGCAGGGGAUCUUCGGACCUUGCGCGAUUGAAUGAGCCGAGGUCGGAUUAGCUAGUUGGCUGGGUAAAGGCCCACCAAGGCGACGAUCCGUAGCUGGUCUGAGAGGAUGAUCAGCCACACUGGAACUGAGACACGGUCCAGACUCCUACGGGAGGCAGCAGUGGGGAAUAUUGGACAAUGGGCGCAAGCCUGAUCCAGCCAUACCGCGUGGGUGAAGAAGGCCUUCGGGUUGUAAAGCCCUUUUGUUGGGAAAGAAAAGCAGCAGGUUAAUACCCCGCUGUUCUGACGGUACCCAAAGAAUAAGCACCGGCUAACUUCGUG
This 492-nucleotide ribosomal RNA is filed under the name uncultured bacterium. RNAcentral describes it as "partial 16S ribosomal RNA". It matches the Rfam family "Bacterial small subunit ribosomal RNA", at positions 29 to 507 of the family's 1533-position model. The record is from RNAcentral.